Molecule: ribosomal RNA, 822 nt
Filed under: uncultured bacterium
Lineage: Bacteria
Description: bacterial SSU rRNA
Rfam family: Bacterial small subunit ribosomal RNA
Source: RNAcentral
UCGAGCGGAAGGCCCCUUCGGGGGUACUCGAGCGGCGAACGGGUGAGUAACACGUGGGCAACCUGCCCCAGAGACCGGGACAACAGUUCGAAAGGACUGCUAAUACCGGAUGAUGUGUAGUCUGCUAAGUGGAUUACACCAAAAGGUAGCUUAGGCUUCCGCUCUAGGAUGGGCCCGCGCCGGAUUAGCUUGUUGGUGAGGUAACGGCUCACCAAGGCGACGAUCCGUAGCUGGUCUGAGAGGACGAUCAGCCACACUGGGACUGAGACACGGCCCAGACUCCUACGGGAGGCAGCAGUAGGGAAUCUUGCGCAAUGGGCGGAAGCCUGACGCAGCAACGCCGCGUGAGCGAAGAAGGCCUUCGGGUCGUAAAGCUCUGUCAGGAGGGACGAAGCCACUCGGGUUAAUAGCCCAGAGGGUGACGGUACCUCCAGAGGAAGGUCCGGCUAACUACGUGCCAGCAGCCGCGGUAAUACGUAGGGACCAAGCGUUGUCCGGAAUCAUUGGGCGUAAAGCGCGUGUAGGCGGCUUCUUAAGUCCGGUGUGAAAUCUGAGGGCUCAACCCUCAGCCUGCAUUGGAAACUGGGUCGCUAGAGUCCGGAAGAGGAGACUGGAAUUCCUGGUGUAGCGGUGAAAUGCGCAGAUAUCAGGAAGAACACCCGUGGCGAAGGCGGGUCUCUGGGACGUGACUGACGCUGAGACGCGAAAGCGUGGGGAGCAAACAGGAUUAGAUACCCUGGUAGUCCACGCCGUANACGAUGGGCACUAGGUGUGGGGGNUGUCGACUCCCUCCGUGCCGAAGCUAACGCAUUAAGUGCCCCG